Molecule: long non-coding RNA, 900 nt
Organism: Fundulus heteroclitus (mummichog)
Lineage: Eukaryota; Metazoa; Chordata; Actinopteri; Cyprinodontiformes; Fundulidae
Exons: 4
Source: RefSeq, a predicted model, not a curated record
AAGAAAUCAGUGUGGUGUUCAAAAUGUAAAGUCGACGUUUUUCUCACCAACAGAGUUAACUAUAUUAAGCAGUUUGGGCUCAACCUCACACUGACCCUCAAUGAUGAAAAUAAAUUGUCACAGGAGCAGUCACAAGAACAGACGUCCAAUUCAUGGGAUUACAUAUGGAGUGCACCAUACAUGGUGUGGUCCAGAGUAAAGGUCUACUGCUUCAUCACUGGAGACACAUUUGGUGCUCAUGAGAGCAUAAUGGCAAACGUCAGUAACAACUGGCCAUUCCAUUCAUUUGUUGAGCAACAAAAUCCAGAGAAUUCUCAAGUCAUCGUUGUCUUUUGUCCAAUCACCUCACGUGUUGGAUCAGAUGUGGAAUCAGCCAUGACAGACCAUCGAGUGUCAUCGUCAGAAAAACCAGUGAUUCUGAUUCUUAUGCAUCACACCAGAGAUGUCGGCUAUUCAACAGGAGAAACCAAGUGGUCGGAAACGUAUAAAGAUGUUGUGCUGGAAGUCCAUGUUUUCUUCCAUGAGACUGAACCAGGAUUACUGAAUUGUCAAAGGAACGACCUGGCAAUGGAAGCAGUUAAGCAAAAGUUAUAUAGUUAUUGGAAAUAGACCUCUUAAUAUCUACAAUAUUUCUCAACAAGACCAGUCACAUGCCUUUCAAGGUUUUUAAAGUGUAACUAAGAAAUUUAUAAUUUUUGAGUUUCUGGCCCCCAAACGUUUCUAAUAUUUGGUUUCAGUUCUGAUUUAUAUGAAUAGACAGAGUAACUCGGGUUGAGGCAAUAAAGUUAUAAUAAAGCAAAAAAUUUAUUUCUGUUUGGCUUUCAACAAAUCUGGUGUUAUUGUUUCUAUUUUUUCUUGAAUGUAAAAACACAACUAAUAAUCACAUCUUGUAUUGCAUGC